CCUACGGUGGGCAGCAGUGGGGAAUAUUGCACAAUGGGGGGAACCCUGAUGCAGCGACGCCGCGUGGGUGAAGGAGUACUUCGGUACGUAAAGCCCUAUCAGCAGGAAAGAAAAUGACGGUACCUGACUAAGAAGCCCCGGCUAACUACGUGCCAGCAGCCGCGGUAAUACGUAGGGGGCACGCGUUAUCCGGAUUUACUGGGUGUAAAGGGAGCGUAGACGGCAGUGCAAGUCCGGAGUGAAAGCCCGGGGCUCAACGCUGGGACUGCUAUGGAAACUGGAAAGCUGGAGUGCGGGAGGGGCAGGCGGAAGUCCUGGUGUAGCGGUGAAAUGCGUAGAUAUCAGGAGGAACUCCGAUUGCGAAGGCAGCUCACUGGACUGCAACUGACACUGAGGCUCGAAAGUGUGGGUAUCAAACAGGAUUAGAUACCCCAGUAGUC
This 440-nucleotide ribosomal RNA is filed under the name uncultured bacterium. RNAcentral describes it as "partial 16S ribosomal RNA". It matches the Rfam family "Bacterial small subunit ribosomal RNA", at positions 338 to 795 of the family's 1533-position model. The record is from RNAcentral.